UUGAAUAAACUUGGUCAAGCUGUUGCUGGUCCUUCGGGGCAUGUGCACGCUUGCCACCAAUUUUAACCACCUGUGCACCUCUUGUAGAUUGGAAACGUUUCUCGAGGCAACUCGGAUUGAGGACUGCUGCGCGCAAGCCAGCUGUUCUUGUGUUUCUCAAUCUAUGUUUUCAUAUACCCCUAAUGUAUGUAUCAGAAUGUAUUGUUAGGCCUCAGUGCCUUUAAAUCAAAUA
RNAcentral lists this unclassified non-coding RNA (232 nucleotides) under uncultured fungus. Its description in RNAcentral is "sequence contains ITS1, 5.8S rRNA gene". Lineage: Eukaryota; Fungi. The record is from RNAcentral.